Molecule: non-coding RNA, 138 nt
Filed under: Alphaproteobacteria bacterium
Lineage: Bacteria; Pseudomonadati; Pseudomonadota; Alphaproteobacteria
Description: MoCo sequence
Rfam family: Molybdenum/Tungsten riboswitch aptamer (Moco RNA motif)
Source: RNAcentral
CUGUUUAAAAUUAUCCGAGCUCAGGGUUCGCCAGCAUUGGCAGCCCUAAGCCGCAUUCAGAGUUUCUCUGUUUGCCAGGGUUGAAUUGAAAACAAUUCAGCCUCCCUAAAUUUGGAAAGGAUAUAAUGAAAUCUCUGC